AUGGCCCUGAAUCAAGGCCAGUAGUUUGCUGAAGAUGUUGGUUUCAAACAGGAGCCUAAAGAAAUGUCUUUCUAUGGUCUUCUGGCUAUUUCAGAACUUUGGAAAUGUAAUGGUCAAUUUGUUGGAAAGAAACGUGA
RNAcentral lists this small nucleolar RNA (137 nucleotides) under Castor canadensis (American beaver). Lineage: Eukaryota; Metazoa; Chordata; Mammalia; Rodentia; Castoridae. The record is from RNAcentral.